AGUGAACGCUGGCGGUAGGCCUAACACAUGCAAGUCGAACGAGUGGCGGACGGGUGAGGAAUACAUCGGCACCUACUUUGUCGUGGGGGAUGACGGAGGUAAACUUACGCUAAUACCGCAUCCGAUUGUUUGUGCCGCGGGUGGAUUAGCUAGUCGGUGGGGUAAAGGCCCACCAAGGCGACGAUCCGUAGCUGGUCUGAGAGGGUGAUCGGCCACACUGGAACGGAGACACGGUCCAGACUCCUACGGGAGGCAGCAGUGGGGAAUAUUGGGCAAUGGGCGCAAGCCUGAUCCAGCCAUGCCGCGUGGGUGAAGAAGGCCUUCGGGUUGUAAAGCCCUGUUGUUAGGAAAGCGGUACCCAAAGAGUAAGCACCGGCUAACUACGUGCCAGCAGCCGCGGUAAUUC
Molecule: ribosomal RNA, 406 nt
Filed under: uncultured bacterium
Lineage: Bacteria
Description: partial 16S ribosomal RNA
Rfam family: Bacterial small subunit ribosomal RNA
Source: RNAcentral